This is a long non-coding RNA of Vigna angularis (adzuki bean), 1476 nucleotides long. RefSeq lists it as uncharacterized. The record is from RefSeq and is a predicted model, not a curated record. The transcript has 2 exons. Lineage: Eukaryota; Viridiplantae; Streptophyta; Magnoliopsida; Fabales; Fabaceae.
UAACACAGUAUUCGUUUGAACAUAUUAUAUUGUUGAGAGACGAAUGCGAGCGACGAUUUGAAAAUUAAGUCGUGUUCGAAUGAGAGAAAACAUGAGGUUGCUGAAAACGGAUUUGCGGGAUGCCUUGAUUUUUCAUCACCCACGAAAGUGAAGAGAUUUGGAGGGAUUAGUGGUAAAAAAACCGAUUCCACUCCGGCAAAAGAUUCACAAAAACGCUGUAUUCGGUUCGCAUCAAGUGAUAUUCGGUUCCAGACAUUUUGGUAACUUGACGAAGGAGAUGUAUUCGGUUACCAUGGAGUGGUAUUCGGUUCCCACUAUGCAGAACCACUUCGAACAACGCUGUAUUCGGUUGUUUCCUUCAAGCAGCAAGGUUGGCGUGGAGGUGGAGGCGGUCUGAUGUUUGACGAAGGUGUUUCCAUGGUGGUGGAUGGUGGACAAUCACCCUUGGCCCAUGACCCAUGAUGCUAGAGGAUGCAGCUCCAUCCCAUGCUCCUUCAAGCAGUCGACGAAGGUGGAGAACGACAUGAAUUAACAGGAAGUUGAUGGGCGAAUGUGUGAAGAAGAUGAGGGAGGCGCGAGGGAGAUGGCGGCCCUGAAGUGGCGACGUCCGAUUAAAGGGCGAGAGAGUAUCGGUGGCGCGAGGGUUUGGCAAUAAGCGCCGCGGCCAAGGGCAACACUCGCCGUAACCCGCAUCCUCAAAGGCGAUUGGUCGAGCGAUGGCGUUUUGCAGGUUCUGCGGUGGCGACGUCGUCCAUGAGCGGUGAUGGCCAACGAAUAUGACAGUGGUGGGGAACGAGCAAACCGGUGACACGGUGGUGACUCACUACUAUUUCAGUUGCAGGAAUGAAGAAGAACAGAGGCGUAUUCGAUUACACAACAUCUAUAUUCGGUUCCUGCAGUACAAACAAAUACAAAGGGACCUGUACUCGGUUCCUGUGUUUGUAUUUGGUUCCCUAAAGUAAAAACAUGUGUAUUCGGUUCCAUUUUUCUGUAUUUGAUUCCCUUACAAUUUGGCUUCACGUUACACCCUGUAUUCCAUUCUACAGUGGUAUGUAUUCGGUUCUUUUGGAGCACAUUUGGGUUGCAAGCUUGUAGGUGGAGGUGCCAUCAUCUGUGAUGAAGUUGGAGAGGGAUCCUCACCGGAGGUUGCAAGCUUGAAGGUGGAGGUGGAGGUUGCAAGCUUGAAUAAUUUUGUACUGACCUUUCUAGGUUUGAGAGAGCAUGGAUCCUCACCGGAGCACUUUACUGGCGACUGGUACUUCGUGCCGGAACUCUGCUGCUUGCGAAAUCACCGGUUGAACGUCCACCUCGAUCACUUCUCGGGGACCCAUUUUUCUGGAUGAUAUAAUUAGGUUAAUGUUGUUUAAUUAUUGUAUUAAACAUACAUGAUGUAUCAACCUUUUGUCAAUGGAGUAUCUGGUAUUGAGGCAGAAUGUAGUUGUUGUUUUUUAGAUUAUAUAAUGGUUUUGAAUCCUU